RNAcentral lists this transfer-messenger RNA (235 nucleotides) under Nitrospiraceae bacterium. RNAcentral describes it as "partial transfer-messenger RNA". It matches the Rfam family "transfer-messenger RNA", at positions 1 to 258 of the family's 374-position model. Rfam says of the family: Bacterial tmRNA, also known as 10Sa RNA or SsrA, is named for its dual tRNA and mRNA-like properties. Lineage: Bacteria; Pseudomonadati; Nitrospirota; Nitrospiria; Nitrospirales; Nitrospiraceae. The record is from RNAcentral.
GGGGGCGAUUGGGCUCGACGGGGGUUACGAGGCUCAGGUGGCAUGCCGUGGCUCCAUCACCACGUAAAAAGAUGGAAAAAACACAAAAGCCAAUAACGAACUGGCACUUGCCGCUUAACUAAAAACGGCACGUCUCUCCGGGUAAGCCCGCGGCCCGGUCUGACGCAGGUAGCGGGCUAAGCUUCCGGGUGGCCUCUUUCCGGAAGACGAAAACCAAAUAAGGGGGAUAGGCGCG